Molecule: transfer RNA, 54 nt
Rfam family: tRNA
About the family: Transfer RNA (tRNA) molecules are approximately 80 nucleotides in length. Their secondary structure includes four short double-helical elements and three loops (D, anti-codon, and T loops). Further hydrogen bonds mediate the characteristic L-shaped molecular structure. tRNAs have two regions of fundamental functional importance: the anti-codon, which is responsible for specific mRNA codon recognition, and the 3' end, to which the tRNAs corresponding amino acid is attached (by aminoacyl-tRNA synthetases). tRNAs cope with the degeneracy of the genetic code in two manners: having more than one tRNA (with a specific anti-codon) for a particular amino acid; and 'wobble' base-pairing, i.e. permitting non-standard base-pairing at the 3rd anti-codon position.
Source: Rfam
GGCUCGGUAGCUCAGUCGGUAGAGCAAUGGAUUGAAGCUCCAUGUGUCGGCGGU